Molecule: ribosomal RNA, 330 nt
Filed under: Kwonkan sp. MYG172
Lineage: Eukaryota; Metazoa; Arthropoda; Arachnida; Araneae; Anamidae
Description: partial 12S ribosomal RNA
Source: RNAcentral
ACUAACAGUAAAAGGGUAAUAUCUUAAGAGAAACCCAUACCCUUUGGCGGCCUUUAUCCCAAUCAGAGGAACUUGUUAAUUAAUCGAAAUUACCCGCCCAUUCUCUCUACCCUUCACAAGCCUUUAUACCGUCGUCUCAAGAGUCAACUUACAAAUUACUUCUCAAAUCCAGGACAACCACCCAAGUCAGAUCAAGGUGAAGCUCAUAGGAAAGCUUAAAUGAGUUAUACAUAAACAAUAUUUAAAGACCUUGUUACAAAAAACAAACCAAUUAAGAUUUGAAAGUACCUCAAGAUUAUAAAUCUUUUAGAAAAAAGUAAAUAAAGGUGU